RNAcentral lists this non-coding RNA (144 nucleotides) under unclassified sequences. RNAcentral describes it as "RT-3 RNA". It matches the Rfam family "RT-3 RNA". The record is from Rfam by way of RNAcentral.
UAUUGUCAGAAGGCUAAAGGGAAUCCCCUACCGUGGUGCCGAGGGAAGCAAGCCACAGCAAAAGCGCACAGGCGCGGAAAGCUGAAAAAUCACGCGUCGGGUGGAGUUUGGUAGGCUCAAGUCAGCUCGCAGAAGUCAGCACCG